RNAcentral lists this ribosomal RNA (489 nucleotides) under uncultured bacterium. Its description in RNAcentral is "partial 16S ribosomal RNA". It matches the Rfam family "Bacterial small subunit ribosomal RNA", at positions 30 to 507 of the family's 1533-position model. The record is from RNAcentral.
AUUGAACGCUGGCGGCAGGCCUAACACAUGCAAGUCGAACGGUAACAGGAAGAAGCUUGCUUCUUUGCUGACGAGUGGCGGACGGGUGAGUAAUGUCUGGGAAACUGCCUGAUGGAGGGGAUAACUACUGGAAACGGUAGCUAAUACCGCAUAACGUCGCAAGACCAAAGAGGGGGACCUUCGGGCCUCUUGCCAUCGGAUGUGCCCAGAUGGGAUUAGCUAGUAGGUGGGGUAACGGCUCACCUAGGCGACGAUCCCUAGCUGGUCUGAGAGGAUGACCAGCCACACUGGAACUGAGACACGGUCCAGACUCCUACGGGAGGCAGCAGUGGGGAAUAUUGCACAAUGGGCGCAAGCCUGAUGCAGCCAUGCCGCGUGUAUGAAGAAGGCCUUCGGGUUGUAAAGUACUUUCAGCGGGGAGGAAGGGAGUAAAGUUAAUACCUUUACUCAUUGACGUUACCCGCAGAAGAAGCACCGGCUAACUCCGUG